CAAGAUAUGGUAGGUACAAGACGUUUCCAUCUAUACAAGAUCUACAUACGUUAACACUUCGGCCUCCUCCUCCUCCCUGGAUCUCGGCUGGUCGAUCCUGCCCGUGGGCGCGUGGCUGGACCACCCGACACCUCAACUCCGGCGCCAAUCGGCUCUGCUCCGGCUCUUCCGCCAUCCUGCUCGCCUGCCCGGGACUCCCGUGCGCUUCAGUGCAACGCCAUGCAAGCCGUCCCUCUGCUCAACGCCGCCCGGACUGGCUCGCCUGCCUCCCAUCCGACCUACGACCUCCACUGACUUGCUGCUACUACCUCCACAACAACAAAGGCCUUGAUGAAGCUGUUGAAGCCGUUGAAGGUGGUGAGGCAGACGUACUGGAUGUCGUCGAUGCAGAAAUUACAAUGCCAGAAAUUACAGUAUGAAGAGAUCACUAGUUGGUGCAGAAAGGAUGAUGAAGGAUCCAGCAUUGAUGUUUCAGUCAUAGAAAAUAUAAAACCUGUUGAGUUUGAAGAUGUCCAGUUCGAAUCUGAUGAUGAUACAAAUGAUGAUGAGGCUUACGUAAAUGAUGGCCAUGUUGCUCCUUUGGGACAAGAAGAAUCGGAUGAUGACCAGGGGUUCUUUGUAUAGUUUUCAAUCUAUUGGUUCAAACAAGGCACCCCUGCAUAGUUUCAUCUGUUGUGGCAAAUGAGAACAAAAGCUAGUGCCCAGCACUAACAGUUUGGUGACGAAGAGAAGAUAAGAGUAGUUGUUGUUCUUUUAGUGAUGUUGCUAUUUUGAGAGUGAUGCUAUGUACACACUGUUGCUAUGAACUGUGGUUUUUAGAGUUAUCGCUAUUUUCAUUACUUUGCGGUCAACUUAUGGCCUUUUGUGUGAACACAAGUAUGGCUGCUGAAACUUGUGUGCGUUCAUGUUGAAACUUGUGUGCUUUCAUGUUGAAACUUGUGUUAUAUAUCUCACUGAGAUGGUUUGUUAUAUCCUACUAAAAUCCUGUGUCAU
This is a long non-coding RNA of Aegilops tauschii subsp. strangulata, 993 nucleotides long. RefSeq lists it as uncharacterized. NCBI's taxonomy places the organism in Eukaryota, Viridiplantae, Streptophyta, Magnoliopsida, Poales, Poaceae. The record is from RefSeq and is a predicted model, not a curated record.